GAGAAAUGGCAUUCCCCCGGGGCAGGAUGGAGGCAGCAGAGUGGCGGCGCCUGCUUCACCUCCUCAAGGACGCGCGGGUCAGGGUGACGAGGGAGUAUGGAAGUUUUUCGAUACCAGAGGAAACCAUCACUGAGGAGGAGGAGUGGAGAGAGCUGGAGGACGUCACUAUCAAUUUGUGGGGGUGUAAGGUGUUCAGGGAAUCUGACGAGAUGUGUUUCUUGUCAGCCUCAAUUUUUGACUUAUGAGUCUGAUGAAGAAGAUGAAGAUGAGGAGGAGGAGGACUUAAAAAAUUUAACCUGCUCCACAGCCUGCUGCAUCACCACCACAGCCACCUCCACCACAGCCUGCUACACCACCAUCACAGCCACCACAACACAGUCACUCCACCACAGCCUGCCAAAAGUAGUGGAGACAAAGAGGCGCCCUUUGAGAGUGGUGCCCCCAGUGCUGUGCUGCAUCAAGUGUUGUACACCUGCAGGUGGUGUGGUUGGUGUCCUCCACACGUAGGGAAUUGUUUGUAAGGUGUGUGGCGGCGUGAAUCGCGGUGCAAGUGUUCUGGUGCAGUGAGCCACACUGGGGUGCCAGCAGGUGCGCCGUGACAGGUGUGAGGACUCGUUCACCACAACACUCAUUCACCGACGCUGUGCUGUGUGGGCCAGGGCAUAUCAGGCAGUUAGUUUGGCACAGGCGGCAUUCUGAUUGCCUUUGGUUUUGACGUGUGUUGUAAGACUCAAACACUGAUAAUAAAGCUGCUCCACCCUGUCUCUCAUUUCCCUGAGUCCAGUGGUGUGGUGAAGGGU
This is an RNA transcript of Scylla paramamosain (green mud crab), 800 nucleotides long. RefSeq lists it as uncharacterized. The transcript is spliced from 3 exons. NCBI's taxonomy places the organism in Eukaryota, Metazoa, Arthropoda, Malacostraca, Decapoda, Portunidae. The record is from RefSeq and is a predicted model, not a curated record.